GAUCCUGGCUCAGGAUGAACGCUAGCUACAGGCUUAACACAUGCAAGUCGAGGAGAAACGACAUCGAAAGCUUGCUUUUGAUGGGCGUCGACCGGCGCACGGGUGAGUAACGCGUAUCCAACCUGCCCAUCACUUGGGAAUAACCUUGCGAAAGUAAGACUAAUGCCCAAUGACAUCCCACGAAGGCAUCCGAAUGGGAUUAAAGAUUUAUCGGUGAUGGGUGGGGAUGCGU
RNAcentral lists this ribosomal RNA (232 nucleotides) under uncultured bacterium. Its description in RNAcentral is "partial 16S ribosomal RNA". It matches the Rfam family "Bacterial small subunit ribosomal RNA", at positions 15 to 236 of the family's 1533-position model. The record is from RNAcentral.